CGCAUCUGUGCAUGCAGCAUAUCAAUAAGCGGAGGAAAAGAAACUAACAAGGAUUCCCCUAGUAACGGCGAGUGAAGCGGGAAGAGCUCAAAUUUGAAAUCUUAAAGGGUUUCCCUUUACGAAUUGUAGUUUAAAGAAGUGUUUUCUGUUGAGGUUUUGGUAAAAGUUCUUUGGAAUAGGACAUCAUAGAGGGUGAGAAUCCCGUAUUUGACCUUUACUUUCAACUUUGUGAUACACUUUCAAAGAGUCGGAUUGUUUGGGAAUGCAGUCCAAAAUGGGUGGUAAAUUUCAUCUAAAGCUAAAUAUUGGCGAGAGACCGAUAGCGAACAAGUACCGUGAGGGAAAGAUGAAAAGAACUUUGAAAAGAGAGUUAAACAGUACGUGAAAUUGUCAAAAGGGAAGCGUUUGACACCAGUGUUGUUUUUCUGAAAAUCAAUUAAAGAACUGUUUAUGCUAAGCUGUUUAGACUUUAUCAGCUAACUGUUUAGUUUUGAGCUUUUCUUUAAUGCACUUUUCAGUUAACAAGUCAACAUCAAUUUCUUUUGCUGUAAAAAAGCUUGAGGAAGGUGGCUUGAGAUUCGUCCUUAAGUGUUUAUAGCCUCUUGCCUAUGCAGUCGGAGAGAUUGAGGUCUGCAGCGUAGAUCCUUCGGGGCUAAAUGCAUUUGUGCUAAGUUAUAGCAUUUUAUAGACAACUUGUUGACUAUGAUUUGUCUUGUAGCUUACUCGCUUAUGUUAUUUUACCUACGCUUAGGAUGUUGAGCGCAUGUCUCUCUC
Molecule: ribosomal RNA, 774 nt
Filed under: uncultured Neocallimastigales
Lineage: Eukaryota; Fungi; Neocallimastigomycota; Neocallimastigomycetes; Neocallimastigales
Description: partial large subunit ribosomal RNA
Rfam family: Eukaryotic large subunit ribosomal RNA
Source: RNAcentral